RNAcentral lists this transfer RNA (66 nucleotides) under cf. Senostoma sp. LRC-2002. RNAcentral's name for it is "tRNA-Asn". The record is from RNAcentral. Lineage: Eukaryota; Metazoa; Arthropoda; Insecta; Diptera; Tachinidae.
UUAAUUGAAGCCAAAUAAGAGGCUUAUCACUGUUAAUGAUAAAACUGAAUAAUAUUCCAAUUAAAG